Molecule: long non-coding RNA, 1743 nt
Organism: Anas platyrhynchos (mallard)
Lineage: Eukaryota; Metazoa; Chordata; Aves; Anseriformes; Anatidae
Source: RefSeq, a predicted model, not a curated record
UUGGGCAGUGACUGCUGGGAAAAUAGGGGAACAGAAGGUGUUAAAUGAGACAUAGAUGCAAGCAGAGAAAACAACACCUAGGAAAAUUUAGUUUUCUGCAAAACUGGGCAGCUGUACAGCUCAACUGGAAAUGAGGAUUUUCGUUACCUUUCUAAGAAUCUAGAUUCUUUAGUUUUCCAUGGGCUUGCCAGGCUCUGCAGGUCAUGAGCUGGAAACCAAUGACUUAGGCAGUAGAAGAUACCUUUCCCUUCCUCAGGAGUCAACUCUGUGUAAAACAGACAUGUAACCCUGUGCCUCCAAAGAUGAUGCAAAAUAAUGCUUAUCCAGCAAAUGGCAUUAAGCAACGAAAAAGAUGGAAAAGACAAUGUCCUGGGCUUUUGAACUAGCUACAGAUUUUCAUGGUCAGAAACUGAAAAAUGCUGAGGUAUCUGUUUUGCCCCUCCAGACUUUAAGGGGGAAAAAAAAAAAAAAAAAAAAAAGAAGUAAGUAAUUCUAAGAUGCAUAUUGGCACAGCUUUAAAAUUCUAUUUCAAUUGAACAAAACAACUGAAUGUUAGCAAUUUUUAAAAAGGAAAGUCAACAUGGUAUUUUGUAAUUAUUAUCACUUUGCUGUCUUCAAGAAAUACCUGACUGAAUUACAAAGGCAUUUAAAAGAGAUCUGAGAACAUUGCAUAUCAGUGCUGCAUCCAGUCGCACUAACCUGUGAAGUGUGAAAAGUAAUUGCAUUAUUUUUGAUCUAUGUUUGUCAGCUGGGCACAGAGCAGUGUUUUCAUUGCUCCUUCUACCCCAGCAACAAAGCUUAGUCAUUGUCCCUGCUGAAAGGGACUUCUUCCUGGAAAAUGCAUUGUUUCAAUAGCUCCUGUAUGCAUGUUUUUGGUGUGUUGGUUUUUGUUUCUUUUCCUGGAAAGUCCUUUGCAUUUUCCUGGGGUCUGCUGCCUAGAAUAUGGUCCUCUUUUUUUUUUUUUUUUUUUUUUUUUUUUUUUUUUGACAUAUUUCAAUCCAAACUCACUGUGGCUUAACCUUGAAACUCAUGGGAAAUUCAAAGGCUUUUCAGUGGACUAAUGGAGAAAGUCACAACACAUACCGUCAUGUUAGUUUCCACUAGAUUAAAAAUUUCCCAAACACAAACAUUUGUCAGUAAUGGAUGUUUGGAUAAACAGUGUAAGAAAAGGAACACAAAUGAUCCUUUUCCUGUUUCCUUCUCAUAUGAUGUCUCUAGCUGUCUUCCUUUCUCUACCACAUAAUAAGGCAGAGAUCCGGGACUGGCUGUCUGAUCUGGAAAACACUUUAUGUUAAGAGUGCAUUCUCAUUUACAUCAAGGGAAGAACAUUGAUCAUCCUCGGGACUGGACUAUCAGGAUUUAGAAGAAUGCUGGACAAAAAGACUGUCCUCGGUAUAUUUUCUUUUGCCCUAAAAAGUUGUUUUUCCUUGCCCACAGACAAGCAGCCAACAGUAGGAAACCACAACUGAAGAUGGCUGUGAUAACAUUACUCUUGCUGGGUUAGGAAGAUCUUUAUUUUCCAUGCAAAACACAUAAUUAUUAGUUUAAUUAUAUAGCCUGUUUUCCAUGUUGCAUUUGCCAGAUCUGAUAUUGUUAAGAAUUUAAUAUUACUUUCACCAGUGGUGAAAAAAAAAAAUGUAGAGAAAAUUAAACAGUAUCGGUCUUUCUGCAUGUUAUCUAUCACAGGGUGACUGAGAGUUCCAGCCAUUAAUGUAAUACAAAUACAUUUGAAAUUUUACAGAA